This 2722-nucleotide ribosomal RNA is filed under the name Escherichia coli 2-210-07_S1_C3. RNAcentral describes it as "bacterial LSU rRNA". It matches the Rfam family "Bacterial large subunit ribosomal RNA". Lineage: Bacteria; Pseudomonadati; Pseudomonadota; Gammaproteobacteria; Enterobacterales; Enterobacteriaceae. The record is from RNAcentral.
CGGGGGAACUGAAACAUCUAAGUACCCCGAGGAAAAGAAAUCAACCGAGAUUCCCCCAGUAGCGGCGAGCGAACGGGGAGCAGCCCAGAGCCUGAAUCAGUAUGUGUGUUAGUGGAAGCGUCUGGAAAGGCGCGCGAUACAGGGUGACAGCCCCGUACACAAAAAUGCACAUGCUGUGAGCUCGAUGAGUAGGGCGGGACACGUGGUAUCCUGUCUGAAUAUGGGGGGACCAUCCUCCAAGGCUAAAUACUCCUGACUGACCGAUAGUGAACCAGUACCGUGAGGGAAAGGCGAAAAGAACCCCGGCGAGGGGAGUGAAAAAGAACCUGAAACCGUGUACGUACAAGCAGUGGGAGCACGCUUAGGCGUGUGACUGCGUACCUUUUGUAUAAUGGGUCAGCGACUUAUAUUCUGUAGCAAGGUUAACCGAAUAGGGGAGCCGAAGGGAAACCGAGUCUUAACUGGGCGUUAAGUUGCAGGGUAUAGACCCGAAACCCGGUGAUCUAGCCAUGGGCAGGUUGAAGGUUGGGUAACACUAACUGGAGGACCGAACCGACUAAUGUUGAAAAAUUAGCGGAUGACUUGUGGCUGGGGGUGAAAGGCCAAUCAAACCGGGAGAUAGCUGGUUCUCCCCGAAAGCUAUUUAGGUAGCGCCUCGUGAAUUCAUCUCCGGGGGUAGAGCACUGUUUCGGCAAGGGGGUCAUCCCGACUUACCAACCCGAUGCAAACUGCGAAUACCGGAGAAUGUUAUCACGGGAGACACACGGCGGGUGCUAACGUCCGUCGUGAAGAGGGAAACAACCCAGACCGCCAGCUAAGGUCCCAAAGUCAUGGUUAAGUGGGAAACGAUGUGGGAAGGCCCAGACAGCCAGGAUGUUGGCUUAGAAGCAGCCAUCAUUUAAAGAAAGCGUAAUAGCUCACUGGUCGAGUCGGCCUGCGCGGAAGAUGUAACGGGGCUAAACCAUGCACCGAAGCUGCGGCAGCGACACUAUGUGUUGUUGGGUAGGGGAGCGUUCUGUAAGCCUGUGAAGGUGUGCUGUGAGGCAUGCUGGAGGUAUCAGAAGUGCGAAUGCUGACAUAAGUAACGAUAAAGCGGGUGAAAAGCCCGCUCGCCGGAAGACCAAGGGUUCCUGUCCAACGUUAAUCGGGGCAGGGUGAGUCGACCCCUAAGGCGAGGCCGAAAGGCGUAGUCGAUGGGAAACAGGUUAAUAUUCCUGUACUUGGUGUUACUGCGAAGGGGGGACGGAGAAGGCUAUGUUGGCCGGGCGACGGUUGUCCCGGUUUAAGCGUGUAGGCUGGUUUUCCAGGCAAAUCCGGAAAAUCAAGGCUGAGGCGUGAUGACGAGGCACUACGGUGCUGAAGCAACAAAUGCCCUGCUUCCAGGAAAAGCCUCUAAGCAUCAGGUAACAUCAAAUCGUACCCCAAACCGACACAGGUGGUCAGGUAGAGAAUACCAAGGCGCUUGAGAGAACUCGGGUGAAGGAACUAGGCAAAAUGGUGCCGUAACUUCGGGAGAAGGCACGCUGAUAUGUAGGUGAAGUCCCUCGCGGAUGGAGCUGAAAUCAGUCGAAGAUACCAGCUGGCUGCAACUGUUUAUUAAAAACACAGCACUGUGCAAACACGAAAGUGGACGUAUACGGUGUGACGCCUGCCCGGUGCCGGAAGGUUAAUUGAUGGGGUUAGCCGCAAGGCGAAGCUCUUGAUCGAAGCCCCGGUAAACGGCGGCCGUAACUAUAACGGUCCUAAGGUAGCGAAAUUCCUUGUCGGGUAAGUUCCGACCUGCACGAAUGGCGUAAUGAUGGCCAGGCUGUCUCCACCCGAGACUCAGUGAAAUUGAACUCGCUGUGAAGAUGCAGUGUACCCGCGGCAAGACGGAAAGACCCCGUGAACCUUUACUAUAGCUUGACACUGAACAUUGAGCCUUGAUGUGUAGGAUAGGUGGGAGGCUUUGAAGUGUGGACGCCAGUCUGCAUGGAGCCGACCUUGAAAUACCACCCUUUAAUGUUUGAUGUUCUAACGUUGACCCGUAAUCCGGGUUGCGGACAGUGUCUGGUGGGUAGUUUGACUGGGGCGGUCUCCUCCUAAAGAGUAACGGAGGAGCACGAAGGUUGGCUAAUCCUGGUCGGACAUCAGGAGGUUAGUGCAAUGGCAUAAGCCAGCUUGACUGCGAGCGUGACGGCGCGAGCAGGUGCGAAAGCAGGUCAUAGUGAUCCGGUGGUUCUGAAUGGAAGGGCCAUCGCUCAACGGAUAAAAGGUACUCCGGGGAUAACAGGCUGAUACCGCCCAAGAGUUCAUAUCGACGGCGGUGUUUGGCACCUCGAUGUCGGCUCAUCACAUCCUGGGGCUGAAGUAGGUCCCAAGGGUAUGGCUGUUCGCCAUUUAAAGUGGUACGCGAGCUGGGUUUAGAACGUCGUGAGACAGUUCGGUCCCUAUCUGCCGUGGGCGCUGGAGAACUGAGGGGGGCUGCUCCUAGUACGAGAGGACCGGAGUGGACGCAUCACUGGUGUUCGGGUUGUCAUGCCAAUGGCACUGCCCGGUAGCUAAAUGCGGAAGAGAUAAGUGCUGAAAGCAUCUAAGCACGAAACUUGCCCCGAGAUGAGUUCUCCCUGACCCUUUAAGGGUCCUGAAGGAACGUUGAAGACGACGACGUUGAUAGGCCGGGUGUGUAAGCGCAGCGAUGCGUUGAGCUAACCGGUACUAAUGAACCGUGAGGCUUAACCUU